GUCAAUUUCAGCUUCCAUCAACUUCCCCCCAUCCAUACCUUUGAUUCUGCAUUCGAUUUUCAAGCAAUUGUUAGCAGAGCCGAAGGCCUGCUCUAUACACUUGCUGACGCAGCGGUUGCAGUGGAUUCCACUCUUUCAGGUGGCGCCGCAUCCACUUCCGCUGAUACCGCGGUGCAGAAGAAUGGCGGAUGGUUUGGAUUUAUCUCCG
This 208-nucleotide unclassified non-coding RNA is filed under the name Hevea brasiliensis (rubber tree). Lineage: Eukaryota; Viridiplantae; Streptophyta; Magnoliopsida; Malpighiales; Euphorbiaceae. The record is from RNAcentral.